Molecule: ribosomal RNA, 253 nt
Filed under: uncultured bacterium
Lineage: Bacteria
Description: partial 16S ribosomal RNA
Rfam family: Bacterial small subunit ribosomal RNA
Source: RNAcentral
UACGAAGGGGGCUAGCGUUGUUCGGGUUUACUGGGCGUAAAGCGCGUGUGGGCGGGUCGUUAAGGUGGGGGUGAAAUCCUGGAGCUCAACUCCGCAACUGCCUUCAAAACUGGCGACCUGGACUCAAGCAGAGGCAAGUGGAAUUGCGAUUGUAGAGGUGAAAUUCGUAGAUAUUCGCAGGAUCACCAGCGGCGAAGGCGACUUGCUGGGCUUGUAGUGACGCUGAGACGCGAAAGCGUGGGGAGCAAACAGG